This 17-nucleotide microRNA is filed under the name Macrophomina phaseolina MS6. RNAcentral's name for it is "miR-4296". The record is from RNAcentral. Lineage: Eukaryota; Fungi; Ascomycota; Dothideomycetes; Botryosphaeriales; Botryosphaeriaceae.
CUGGGGGCUCAGGCUCA